RNAcentral lists this transfer RNA (69 nucleotides) under Scartelaos histophorus (walking goby). RNAcentral's name for it is "tRNA-Ala". It matches the Rfam family "tRNA". From Rfam's summary of the family: Transfer RNA (tRNA) molecules are approximately 80 nucleotides in length. Their secondary structure includes four short double-helical elements and three loops (D, anti-codon, and T loops). The record is from RNAcentral. RNAcentral also lists the same sequence under 9 other names. Lineage: Eukaryota; Metazoa; Chordata; Actinopteri; Gobiiformes; Gobiidae.
AAGGCUUUAGCUUAAUUAAAGUGUCUGCUUUGCAUGCAGAAGAUGUGGGUUAGUGUCCUGCAAGUCUUA